Long non-coding RNA from Etheostoma spectabile (orangethroat darter), 527 nucleotides. RefSeq lists it as uncharacterized. The transcript has 4 exons. The record is from RefSeq and is a predicted model, not a curated record. Lineage: Eukaryota; Metazoa; Chordata; Actinopteri; Perciformes; Percidae.
CUUUUUCAUGUUAUCUCUUGCGCUAACGGCCAAAGCGCGUGGCAUUAGUGUUUUCAAAGGCAACCGUUGAUAACGGCUGGGUUGUCAAAACUUCAUCAGCGGUCAAGAAGCACCAACGAGUCUUUUUUACUAGCUAACAACGUUAAUUGGAAAACAGAAAUCGCACUAGUAGUCCGACGGGCAUCUUUAAUUGUAUUGGUGACUGAGUUUUGGUGAGGGCAAACAAAAUGAUAUUGCAAAGUUAACAAGAGGAGAACUGAGUUUUUCAACAGCGAAGGUGGUGAUAUUGCCAGAGCUCUUUAUGAUGGAUGCAAAUGAUUCAAAUGCAUACAAGCAUGAAUCUCAGGCCAAAUACAAGCAGGCAAGAGAAGAGCGAAAGAUGCUCUUCACCACUGCACACAACUACAUGAUUGACAUCCUGGCUGACAGGCUGUCCUUGGAGCCAACAGCAGUAGAGGAAUUCAUUUUAGAUUCUUCAUCUCUGGCUGCUUUUGAUAAUUUCUUCGCCAAAGGAGGUUGUAAAACCA